AGCGAACGCUGGCGGCAGGCUUAACACAUGCAAGUCGAGCGGGCCCUUCGGGGUCAGCGGCGGACGGGUGAGUAACGCGUGGGAACGUGCCUUCUGGGCUGGAAGAACCCUGGGAAACUAGGGCUAAUACCGGAUACGCCCUUUUGGGGAAAGGUUUACUGCCGGAAGAUCGGCCCGCGUCUGAUUAGCUAGUUGGUGGGGUAACGGCCUACCAAGGCGACGAUCAGUAGCUGGUCUGAGAGGAUGGUCAGCCACACUGGGACUGAGACACGGCCCAGACUCCUACGGGAGGCAGCAGUGGGGAAUAUUGGACAAUGGGCGCAAGCCUGAUCCAGCCAUGCCGCGUGAGUGAUGAAGGACUUAGGGUUGUAAAGCUCUUUUAUCCGGGACGAUAAUGACGGUACCGGAGGAAUAAGCCCCGGCUAACUUCGUG
Molecule: ribosomal RNA, 433 nt
Filed under: uncultured bacterium
Lineage: Bacteria
Description: partial 16S ribosomal RNA
Rfam family: Bacterial small subunit ribosomal RNA
Source: RNAcentral